UUGACUUUUUGUUUGUAUAAUCUUGGGCAAUUUUGGUACAUGGAUUGGUUGCCUGGUGUGGUUUCUUUAUGUAUUUUAAAUAGUCAAAUUACUAUUAUAAAAAUAUAUGUGAUAGAGCAAUCUGAUGCCCAUCUGCAAACUCGAUAACGUGUUGCGUAACCAUUAGUUACAAUGCAACGUCUGCAAUGUAUUCGGCCUGGAACCUUCUAGUACCGUGUCUCAGAGAGGAAGGAAAUGACAUAAGCCCUGACUACAUUUAAUAUGUAUACCACAUACUUACUUCCUGUUUCCAUACUGCCAGUAAGUUGUCUUACAAAGCCUCUCCACUUCGCUCGAGGGGGUGUGGUAGUAGGUGCCAGGCUCACCGGUUUGUGUCAAGAACUCCAAUGCCUCUGGGGUUUUCACUCUCAACAGCUUCUUGUGUGUAUCAAGAAUGGCCCACCAUCCAAAGGACAUCCAGCAAACUUGACACAACUGUGGGGAGCAUUGGAGUCAACAUGGACCUGCAUCCCUGUGGAACACUUUCGACACCUUGUAGUCCAUGCCCCGACAAAUGGAGGCUGUUCUGAGGGUAAAAAGGGGUGCAACUCAAUAUUAGGAAGGUGUUACUAAUGUUUUCUACACUCUGUGUAUAUUCUGUUAAUAAUUGGAUUCAAUGCUACAGUCAAGAUUGUACAAAUUAAAUGGAUUUGAAGCAAUAAAUGAAUAAUUAUGUGUA
This is a long non-coding RNA of Oncorhynchus nerka (sockeye salmon), 718 nucleotides long. RefSeq lists it as uncharacterized. Lineage: Eukaryota; Metazoa; Chordata; Actinopteri; Salmoniformes; Salmonidae. The record is from RefSeq and is a predicted model, not a curated record. The transcript has 2 exons.